This 281-nucleotide long non-coding RNA is filed under the name Elaeis guineensis (African oil palm). RNAcentral's name for it is "long non-coding RNA (EGUI_LNC021583)". Lineage: Eukaryota; Viridiplantae; Streptophyta; Magnoliopsida; Arecales; Arecaceae. The record is from RNAcentral.
AGGGGCCAGAGGUAUCCGAGCCCUCGCUCGCAAGCACAUCUAACUGCUCCUGUAAUUACAAAUUCAAAUAAAAUCUUAUAAGAAAUGCUAUAAUACUAAUCAUACUCCAAUUAUUACUUACAAAAAUCCUUUCAAUCGUGAUGUUCAUCGAUCUGCCCUUCGUGUCCAUAUGACUCGAUCGGAAGAUGGCGCUACGGCUGGACAUCAUCUUCUCUCUCGUCAGCUAUAACAAUCAAUCAGCUUGUUAAAAACAUGCAAAAACAACAAUUCAAUAACUUGUA